Molecule: ribosomal RNA, 253 nt
Filed under: uncultured Eubacteriales bacterium
Lineage: Bacteria; Bacillati; Bacillota; Clostridia; Eubacteriales
Description: uncultured Clostridiales bacterium partial 16S ribosomal RNA
Rfam family: Bacterial small subunit ribosomal RNA
Source: RNAcentral
UACGUAGGUGGCAAGCGUUGUCCGGAUUUACUGGGUGUAAAGGGCGUGCAGACGGAGAGACAAGUCAGAUGUGAAAUCCACAGGCUCAACCUGUGAACUGCAUUUGAAACUGCCAUACUGGAGUGCCGGAGAGGUAAGUGGAAUUCCUAGUGUAGCGGUGAAAUGCGUAGAUAUUAGGAGGAACACCAGUGGCGAAGGCGGCUUACUGGACGGUAACUGACGCUGAGGCUCGAAAGCGUGGGGAGCAAACAGG